Molecule: long non-coding RNA, 1280 nt
Organism: Daucus carota subsp. sativus
Lineage: Eukaryota; Viridiplantae; Streptophyta; Magnoliopsida; Apiales; Apiaceae
Exons: 3
Source: RefSeq, a predicted model, not a curated record
AACAUGGAAGACCAUUUUAGCAGCUGAUAUAAAUUGCAAAUGUUAUCCUGUUAAUUAGCAAGUAGGACUUAAGUCAUAAAUAACAGCGUUACAAUAAUGAAGACUUGAAUGUUUGGACUGUUAUAUGGGAGAGAUCAAAGAAAGAAACAUAGCUCCUGAAAUAAGGUGGGCUCUCUUUAACACAGGCUGGUGACAAUCUGCAGCAUUGAUCUCCAGGUCAAAGAUGGCAGGCUGAUAAAAGUCUAGAGCAGCAAAAAAUAUGUGUUACAAGCUGUAAUCUGUAACCUAUAUAUAAGGCUGCUAGAGGAAGAAGAAAUAACACACUGAGAAAAACUACAACAGCAGUUGUAGAGAGAAAUUUAGAAGAGCUGAAGCUCUGAGUGAAAGGCCGUGUGCCAUCUCUGUGUAAGAAAAUAUAAGUAUUGUAGCUGCGUGUUAAUAUUAUCGAAGUUUCAUUGUAAGGCCCAUACACCUUUCCAACAAAGGCCACCAUGGUGUGAAGAAAGGUCCAAGGACCGGUGACGAGGACAUGAAGCUCCGCAAAGUUAUUCAUACCAAUGGCACAAGGUACUGCUGGGCGAGUUGUACAAAAUGUUUAGGACUACCGAGAUGUGGUAAGAGCUUCAGAAUACCAGCUACAACACAAAUUAAUGUAUGUUAGCCUUAUUCAUAAUUCCGAAAGAUGGUCCAAGAUUGCUUCGCAAUUGCCGGGAACAACUUCCGAAAGGAAUUCUUCCGGGCAUAUGUGAAGCAAUCUUAGACCACGUGUCGGAAUUAUGUAUAAGGCUGACAUACGUUAAAAAAUAAUCACCGGCUUCUAAUUUCUCCGUUGCCGAAAUCCCAUUUGUUUUGGGCAAUGACAUUCUCAUCCCUUGGAUCUGAGUUAGAAGCUGAUCAAGUUAUGAUGACUGACGUUAUUAGUAUUCAACACUCGUCAAGCUUUGAAAGAUGGUCAUGAUUCUCUGAUCUAUCAGUAUCUGAAACUGGUCAGUAUGUGAAGAUUCAGGAUCGAGAAAACAAUCAAUAUCCUAAAGAUGUCUUCUAUUCUUGGAAAGUAGAAAGGAUUGUUUUGUUGGUUACUGAUUUAUAGUAUCUUAACUAUCAAUUUAGAUAUAUGUAUAGAAUGUUAUUAUAUAUUGACAAACCAUAUCUUGUAAUUGAUAGAGCUUCUGUGUCGUAUAUGAACAGAAAACCCCCUCCGCCUCCCUCAAUUGUUUACAUUGGGGGACGGGGGUUCGACACACAUUUUAAUACUCCUAGAAAACAUAGUUCAUGAAUUA